AAGCUCAAGAGAACGGCAACGCCGAUGGCGCCCAGAUAUAUGUCGAGGACGCCAUCCGCAAGUGCACCGAGCACAUGAACUACCUCCGCCUCGCCUUAUACGCCCAUGAGUGAUAUAUACUACUUGCCUGCUGUUGUAUCAUAUUGCUUACUUUUUUACAUCAGAUCAACUAUGAAGAGAAUUGGUGGUGGUUAGGGUGUUCUGGUGCUUAUGUAAUCUUCUUUCAGGCCUUUCGAGAUAGAGUUCUUUAGCUGACAAGUUUAGCAAAUGCUGUAGUGCUUAUGGUUUAGUUUUACACUUGCGUAAAAAUGAAUGGCUGCUACUGUUUCUAGUUUUAGGUUGGGAUGACAUGCAUGUUUGCAUGCUUGUGCUUCUGUCACUACAAUCUAUACUACUGCUAUUGUCAUAUCCUGGUUGUUUUGUUGCUAUCAAUAUCUGUCCCAUGUUUUGUUUCCUUGCAUGCUUACUACUACAAUCUAUACUACUAUUGUGCCAGAUGUUCACAUGUUAAUUUUUGUUGACUAAAAUCUCUUAUGCCGUUGACUUAGCUUGACCCAGAACAGCAGCAUCCUUGAUGCGACUAACCUUCACCUCGUUCUUUCCCUCGCAGACUCGAAGGAGGCCGUAUGCAAGGCACCAAGGUGCAUGGUGCUCGCAAGCGACGAACGGAGGCUGUUCGACAUCGGCUACACAAACCACCAUUGUGAGCUCCUACCUUUGCUAUGCUACAACCAUGCUCUGUUUCAUGGGUUAGUUAGGAUUUUGAUGCUUUUUGUGCCGUG
This 782-nucleotide ribosomal RNA is filed under the name Triticum aestivum (bread wheat). RNAcentral's name for it is "partial small subunit ribosomal RNA". Lineage: Eukaryota; Viridiplantae; Streptophyta; Magnoliopsida; Poales; Poaceae. The record is from RNAcentral.